CCUACGGGAGGCUGCAGUGGGGAAUAUUGGACAAUGGGGGCAACCCUGAUCCAGCCAUGCCGCGUGUGUGAAGAAGGCCCUCGGGUUGUAAAGCACUUUCAGUGAGGAAGAACGCCUGGUGGUUAAUACCCAUCAGGAAAGACAUCACUCACAGAAGAAGCACCGGCUAACUCCGUGCCAGCAGCCGCGGUAAUACGGAGGGUGCGAGCGUUAAUCGGAAUUACUGGGCGUAAAGCGCGCGUAGGUGGCUUGAUAAGCCGGUUGUGAAAGCCCCGGGCUCAACCUGGGAACGGCAUUCGGAACUGUCAAGCUAGAGUGCAGGAGAGGAAGGUAGAAUUCCCGGUGUAGCGGUGAAAUGCGUAGAGAUCGGGAGGAAUACCAGUGGCGAAGGCGGCCUUCUGGACUGACACUGACACUGAGGUGCGAAAGCGUGGGUAGCAAACAGGAUUAGAUACCCGAGUAGUC
This 465-nucleotide ribosomal RNA is filed under the name Vreelandella stevensii. Its description in RNAcentral is "partial 16S ribosomal RNA". It matches the Rfam family "Bacterial small subunit ribosomal RNA", at positions 338 to 795 of the family's 1533-position model. Lineage: Bacteria; Pseudomonadati; Pseudomonadota; Gammaproteobacteria; Oceanospirillales; Halomonadaceae. The record is from RNAcentral.